RNAcentral lists this microRNA precursor (83 nucleotides) under Prunus persica (peach). RNAcentral's name for it is "miR395o stem-loop (ppe-MIR395o)". Its record names the gene ppe-MIR395o. Lineage: Eukaryota; Viridiplantae; Streptophyta; Magnoliopsida; Rosales; Rosaceae. The record is from miRBase by way of RNAcentral.
CUAGAGUUCCCUCAAACACUUCAUUGGAGAUUAUAUGCCCCUCUCUACUUUCUAUCUACUGAAGUGUUUUUGGGGACCCUUAG